GACCCCGUCGUCUAGCGGCCAAGGACCUCAGGAUUUCCUCCUGAUGACAGAAGUUCAAAUCUUCUCGGGGUCGCCA
RNAcentral lists this transfer RNA (76 nucleotides) under Arcobacter sp. RNAcentral's name for it is "tRNA-Glu". It matches the Rfam family "tRNA". From Rfam's summary of the family: Transfer RNA (tRNA) molecules are approximately 80 nucleotides in length. Their secondary structure includes four short double-helical elements and three loops (D, anti-codon, and T loops). Lineage: Bacteria; Pseudomonadati; Campylobacterota; Epsilonproteobacteria; Campylobacterales; Arcobacteraceae. RNAcentral also lists the same sequence under 1 other name. The record is from RNAcentral.